RNAcentral lists this transfer RNA (73 nucleotides) under [Clostridium] scindens. Its description in RNAcentral is "tRNA-Val". It matches the Rfam family "tRNA". Rfam says of the family: Transfer RNA (tRNA) molecules are approximately 80 nucleotides in length. Their secondary structure includes four short double-helical elements and three loops (D, anti-codon, and T loops). Lineage: Bacteria; Bacillati; Bacillota; Clostridia; Lachnospirales; Lachnospiraceae. RNAcentral also lists the same sequence under 2 other names. The record is from RNAcentral.
GGGAUCUUAGCUCAGUUGGGAGAGCAUCUGCCUUACAAGCAGAGGGUCAUAGGUUCGAGCCCUAUAGGUCCCA